Motacilla alba alba is the source of this 3429-nucleotide long non-coding RNA. RefSeq lists it as uncharacterized. The transcript has 2 exons. The record is from RefSeq and is a predicted model, not a curated record. NCBI's taxonomy places the organism in Eukaryota, Metazoa, Chordata, Aves, Passeriformes, Motacillidae.
UUAAAAAUGGAGAAAUUAGCUAAUUUUAGGGGUCGGUCACUGGAUUCCUUUUCCAGGCAUGUUUAUGUAAGAUAAUAAAUGAUCAUUACAGGUAUUCACUUGGUUCACUAUUAAAUCAAAUUGUUAGAUAAUAAAUGUUUCUCUCUCAUGCAGAAACAUUUCCUAGAUUACAGGAUUUGAAGACCUUAGCCUUUUCCUAAUAUAAUUCUGUCUUUCCAUUCCUUUCAAGACAAAGUUUUAUUAAUCUGACAAAGUAUAAAGCAAUGCUUAGAGAUAUUUUCAGAUAUUUAGCAUGAUUACAACAACUGAUAGAAAAAGCUGCAAAGAACUUUGUUUGAAGUGUAAAACCAAUGCAAAAUGCUAAUAAUGGUUGUUUUUCAUCUUGCCUUUUUUAGGAUAAACACUAUCAGAGGAAAACUGUGUGAUGAGCAUGUUUAAAAAGUUGUAUUUAACCAUUCAUGGUAAACUUGUAACUGCUAAACUGAUGGAAGACAUGUGGUUUUAUUUUUUUAAUGGAAAAGAAGACAAUUUACUGUCUCUCAGCCCAGCAUUCCCAAAAUACUGAUGCCGUAAGUAAGGCCAUUGUUCUUUAACAUGAAACACUGCCAACUGUGGGCUCAAAAAUGUCUCUCUGAAAUAAAGCUCGACUGUCAGCUCCAUUCCAUACAACCCCAUUUUUCCCACAGUCAACCUCUUACUUCAGUGAGGAAUAUUUCUCAUCCAGGGGACUUCCUUUCUGUAUUAACAGUGUACCACGAGCCUGUAGGCUCCUCUGGCAGACUUUGAAUGAAAGCAAACCCCUUAACCAUUUAUUAUGCUUUUAUGUUCAUCUACGUGUGCAGAGGUUAAUGUUUAGACCUCUUCUCAUGCCACUGUCUCUCCUAGGUGCUGAUUUAAUUUUUUUUCCAGUUUUGAUCCAGCAUGGGUUAAGACAGCUUUAACAAGGCCAGAGGUUUUUCAUCCAAAAGGUAUUCCAAACCUCCUGGAGAGCUCCACAAGUUGGUUUAAGCUGAAGAAUGAAGUAAGGAUGUCUAUUCCCUAUCCAAUCCUGUCAAAAUGACUGUUUACAAGUGUCUACAAAACCAUAUCAAAGGUAAAGUCCUCUAACUGCACUGCAAUGUGUCUCAUUGUUACUAAUUCCUGGGUCCUUUCCUUGAGCUCUUCUGUGAAUCAAAUUGUUUUCAUUUAUGGAAUUUCUUACUAGCUGUUAUUUUUAAAUGAGACUUUGGUUUCUCACAUGCCUCGUGGAAAUAUAGGCAUAUGUCAAAAACAUCUACUGGAAAAAUCUCCAUACUUCAGCAGGCCCUGAGGAUUUAGUAAUCAGCAUGAGAUUUUCCUCCUCUCAAUUACUGACUCUUUUGUUUUAAAAAAAUAGCACUAAUACUAAACAAACAAACAGCCCCAGUUGCUCCUCUUUCUCAGUAUUUAUUUUUGGAUGUCUUCCAGAGUCAUCUUUUAACUGUGAUUGCUGACAUCCUGGGCUAAGGCAGCCAUUCACAAGCCUCGAUAUUUCUAGAGGGGCUUUGGGAAUUUUUAAAUUUUAUCUAUUUAUUAUUUUAACAGGGAGGAGCCAAUGUUCUGGUUUUGUUGUUUGGGGGAUUUUUAAACAGAAAAAGCAGCAGGAUGCAAAUGGAAAAUUAAGGACUGAUUCACUGACUCCACUGUCUCUCCAAAAACAUGUCAGUCAUUUGUUAUAGUGAGAAUGAGAAAAACCUUCUGGUAGAGACUGUAAAACUCUGAAAAAAAUUAGUAACUGCCAUCCUUUGCUAUAAGAAACCUCACAAUUUAACACCUUCAAAUUAUUGCUUGUGAGUAUAAGACUCCUCAAACUUCAGGUUGGCUGAACUUGUCAAAAUAAACAAAUUCCCGCUUCAUUUCCGCUUGCUGAUGCACUCGGGAGGAGGAAGCUGGCCGAAGACACGGCCCAUUGCAGGUUUAUUCAGCCAGACUGCAGCUCUCAUUCCUUCCCCACCCACCACCAGCACCUGGUGAGAAGUGAGCACUUCCACACUCCCCAGCCAGCAGGGCUUGGUAGCUCAUUUCUGUGCCUAGUUCUGUGGGGCAUACCAUCUUUUUCCUUUUGACAAAAAGAAAAUGGCAUGGCUCAGGUGAAAUUGGGAGCCUUGCAUCAGCCUGGCAUGGACCCCUGAUCCCUAACAUUUCUUCACACGGCAUCUGCUUUGUUCAUCUCCUGGCCCAGGGCCAGCAGUGACUGCUGCCAGGUAGAAAGAGGAAGACUUUUAAGCAGGAAUGGGAGUAGGAAAGGAUCAAGUGCUGUCCUUGGAAGAAUGGAACAAAAUAAUUUAAGCUGAAAUUUGCAGUAUGUGAAGAAAGGAAAUACUGGCUGAUCAUUUGGGUUGGCUAGAAUAAGAUUCAAUAAACAAGUUAAUGCAGGAGUUUAAUAAAUUCAUUUAAUUAAAAAAAAAGUUUAGUGCAGUAGAAGUCAAGGCGACACUCUAGAAGAGGAGUGAAAGGUAGAAAAGCAGAAGAAAGGUAUGACGUCUUCAAAUCAAUCUUGGCAACAUUUCUUUUUGGGAGCUUCAGCUUUCUGGAAGCAAACUAUAAAUGCUCUGAAAAAUAAAUGAAUUCAGGAGGGAAAAAUCUCCAUUUCAAAGCUCUGACACGCUGUGUGGAGAGCCUUAUAUUUUAUGAGUAUUCUAGAACUGGUGAUGUGGCUAAAGGCCACUAGAGUCAGGCUCAAAGAAAAUCCAACCAGGCUUUCCUUACUCCCAAAGAGUCCAUCUCCUCUUUUCCCCAUUCAUUGGCUUUUAUGGACUUUACUGAAUUCACUCUUCAAAUACUCAGGGCAAGAAGGUGUUGUUAGCCCAUAAUAAGAGUUCUCCCUACUGCAAUAGCAUGAGACAGGAGGAGAGAUCUUCCAUGAGAAGCAGCAUGGACAGGAAAUAUGGGCAAGAGUUCGGUGAGCACAUUCACAUUGUUUCAAAUUAGGAGUGAUUUAAGUUAUGACUUGAGGGUGACUUUUCUGAAUCACAUUGAUACCAUGUGUUUUUCAAUGCUUAAUGUCAGGCAUUUAGCUCAUAAGUAAUAAAUGCCUAAUGUCAGCUCAUAAGUAAUAAAUUAGGAACAAUGUUGAGUUAAGAGAGUGUAAAAAUAAUCAGGUUUUUAGAAAAUGAUAAAACCCAGUUUGUGCCCUCUGAAUUAAGAAAAAUAGAUACAAACUAAGCUGUAUAAUAACUUAAUCACAAUUUGAGAUAGACCAGUAAGUGUGCAGAAAACUUUAAUGCUAACAGAUACUGAAUACAGGAAGUAGGAACAGCACUUCUGGGGUUAAAUAUAUAUAUUCUACUGCUGCAUUUGGGAUUAAACUCUUCCUGACAGUUCCCUUUGGCUUACGUUACUGAACUAGAUAAGAUAAAAUUACAGUCUAAACAAACAUGACCAGUCUUGCUAAAAAAAAAAAAAAAAAAA